RNAcentral lists this long non-coding RNA (478 nucleotides) under Chelydra serpentina (North American snapping turtle). Its description in RNAcentral is "lncRNA (ENSCSRG00000017380.1)". The record is from RNAcentral. Lineage: Eukaryota; Metazoa; Chordata; Testudines; Chelydridae.
UCGUGCAAUCCCGGCUGUCCCCCUCUCUCACUAGAACAUCUGCGGGGAUUGUGCCCAGGUGCAGACUGGCUCCCACACGCCCGGCGGAGUCAAAGGGGAGAAGGGCGACCAGGGCAUGCCCGGUGCCCCCGGCAUAGACAACUGCGCGCGGUGCUUUGCUCAGUUCCCGAGAGCGGAGGAGCCCCGGGGUGACCAAGCGGAGAGUGACGGUGACUGUGCUGGAGAGCCUGGGCUGCCGGGGAUCCCGGGCUUACCUGGAGAGAGGGGGGAACAGGGCCCGCCAGGGACAAGGGGAUCUCCGGGACCCUCCGGACCGACUGGCCCUCCAGGUUUUCCUGGAACGCCUGGCGCACCCGGAUUGCCUGGUCUCCAGGGCGAGCGCGGACCACCUGGGCUCACCGGCGCGAAAGGGGAACUGGUGAGUGAUGGACCUGGCUGCUGACUCCCCGAGCGCCAGUGGGGGGAGAGGGGCUAGCAG